CCUCCACCUCCACCCCCCACUGAGCGUACACCAGGAAGCACGGACGCGCGGCCGUUUUCCUUUUUUUUUUCUGCUCUUUUUUUCUUUCUGUUGUUUUUCUUCCGGGGUUCAUCCGUUCAUCCACUCGGGGCCGGAGGGCGUAGAUGUGGACACCGAACACCGAACACCGACCGCGGCCGAGGAGGAGACUGACAGGCGGAUCCGUCCGGUCCGGGCUCCGCGGUGGAUGCGUCUGACUGCACCGGAGACACACGGUGUCUGUUAGCAGUAUGGGCCAACAUCUAGGAAAGAAGGAGUUCUCCACAGACAGUAAGGUGUCGUCACCUGAACCCACAGCGGCGCUGACGACGGCAGAGACGGCGGAUCCAGAACCCCAGGACGAAGUGUUCGGUAAGACGAUAAAUCUGUAAACGGACGGUGAAUGUACACGACAGUUCAGAGGAUGAACAGAAAAAACAAACAGAAAAACAAACAGAAAAAACAAACAGAAAAACAAACAGAAGAAGUCCGACAUUGACACGUCAUUGAUCCAACUCCAUGGGUUUCACUGGUGAAUCAAUGUUGUAGAAGAUGAUGGUGUUUCCACAGUAACUAUGGAACCUCUGAAUGUCCAAAUAUGGUCAUAUCUGAUGACCAUGAAAAGAUGAAGAACUGUAUUUUACACCAAUUACUGAUAAUAUUAGAAUAUGCACAAUAUAUAAUAUAUGUGUAUUUAUAAUCACAGGAUUAAAUAUGAUAAAGUGAUAACAGUAACAUUGAUAUAAGUAAUAAGUAGUAUAAGUAAUAGCAGUAAAUAAUAAUAAUAAUAAUAAUAAUAAUAAUAAUACAGGGACAGAUGGAAGUGGACUGGAUUGUGCUUCAUUUCCAGGUCCAGUUGAUGUCCUAUUGAUAUUUGUAUUGAUUCCUUUUGCUGUGGUUAUAGAAUCAGUCGAACACAUGUUGAACCAGUCGCUCUCAGCCCUGAUCAACCUCAGAUUAUGGAACAGAACCAGGUCAUGGUCCAGAGACGCUGGUGUCCAUGGAUGGAACUGAGCAUGUGUCAGUGGAUAUGAUGAUGUCAUCAUAGGCGUUGGUCUGGAGGUCCUGAACGUUCAUCAGAUGGAUGUGUUCGCUGAUCGAUCGGCUCCUGCUUCAGUCCAUUAACGACCCUGGUCUUAAA
RNAcentral lists this long non-coding RNA (1159 nucleotides) under Sphaeramia orbicularis (orbiculate cardinalfish). RNAcentral's name for it is "lncRNA (ENSSORG00005011273.1)". Lineage: Eukaryota; Metazoa; Chordata; Actinopteri; Kurtiformes; Apogonidae. The record is from RNAcentral.